UACGGAGGGUGCAAGCGUUGUCCGGAUUUAUUGGGCGUAAAGCGUCUGUAGGCUUUCCUUUAAGUUAUUCCUCAAAGCCCAGGGCUCAACUCUGGAAAGGGGAAUAAUACUAUUGGAAUUGAAUGGCACAGGGGUUACUGGAACUUGUGGUGUAGGAGUGAAAUCCGUUGAUAUCACAAGGAACACCGAGGGCGAAGGCGGGUAACUGGGUGCACAUUGACGCUAAGAGACGGCAGCUAGGGUAGCGAAAGGG
RNAcentral lists this unclassified non-coding RNA (253 nucleotides) under uncultured Patescibacteria group bacterium. RNAcentral's name for it is "contains 16S-23S intergenic spacer region". It matches the Rfam family "Bacterial small subunit ribosomal RNA", at positions 524 to 776 of the family's 1533-position model. The record is from RNAcentral.